RNAcentral lists this ribosomal RNA (486 nucleotides) under uncultured bacterium. RNAcentral describes it as "partial 16S ribosomal RNA". It matches the Rfam family "Bacterial small subunit ribosomal RNA", at positions 29 to 507 of the family's 1533-position model. The record is from RNAcentral.
AUUGAACGCUGGCGGCAUGCUUUACACAUGCAAGUCGAGCGGCAGCGCGGGGGCAACCCUGGCGGCGAGCGGCGAACGGGUGAGUAAUGCAUCGGAACGUAUCCUCGAGUGGGGGAUAACCCAGCGAAAGUUGGGCUAAUACCGCAUGAGCUCUGAGGAGGGAAGCGGGGGACCUGCGAGGGCCUCGCGCUGGAGGAGCGGCCGAUGUCCGAUUAGCUAGUUGGUGGGGUAAAGGCUUACCAAGGCGACGAUCGGUAGCUGGUCUGAGAGGAUGAUCAGCCACACUGGGACUGAGACACGGCCCAGACUCCUACGGGAGGCAGCAGUGGGGAAUUUUGGACAAUGGGGGCAACCCUGAUCCAGCCAUGCCGCGUGAGUGAAGAAGGCCUUCGGGUUGUAAAGCUCUUUCGGACGGAACGAAAUGGGCGGGACUAAUACUCCUGUCUGAUGACGGUACCGUAAGAAGAAGCACCGGCUAACUACGUG